UAGGGAAUCUUCCACAAUGGACGCAAGUCUGAUGGAGCAACGCCGCGUGAGUGAAGAAGGUCUUCGGAUCGUAAAGCUCUGUUGUUGGUGAAGAAGGAUAGAGGCAGUAACUGGUCUUUAUUUGACGGUAAUCAACCAGAAAGUCACGGCUAACUACGUGCCAGCAGCCGCGGUAAUACGUAGGUGGCAAGCGUUGUCCGGAUUUAUUGGGCGUAAAGCGAGCGCAGGCGGAAUGAUAAGUCUGAUGUGAAAGCCCACGGCUCAACCGUGGAACUGCAUCGGAAACUGUCAUUCUUGAGUGCAGAAGAGGAGAGUGGAACUCCAUGUGUAGCGGUGGAAUGCGUAGAUAUAUGGAAGAACACCAGUGGCGAAGGCGGCUCUCUGGUCUGCAACUGACGCUGAGGCUCGAAAGCAUGGGUAGCGAACAGGAUUAGAUACCCUGGUAGUCCAUGCCGUAAACGAUGAGCGCUAGGUGUUGGGGACUUUCCGGUCCUCAGUGCCGCAGCAAAACGCAUU
This 516-nucleotide ribosomal RNA is filed under the name uncultured bacterium. RNAcentral's name for it is "partial 16S ribosomal RNA". It matches the Rfam family "Bacterial small subunit ribosomal RNA", at positions 355 to 861 of the family's 1533-position model. The record is from RNAcentral.